RNAcentral lists this ribosomal RNA (424 nucleotides) under uncultured bacterium. RNAcentral's name for it is "partial 16S ribosomal RNA". It matches the Rfam family "Bacterial small subunit ribosomal RNA", at positions 354 to 796 of the family's 1533-position model. The record is from RNAcentral.
GUUAGGAAUAUUGGACAAUGGGCGCAAGCCUGAUCCAGCCAUGCCGCGUGAGUGAUGAAGGCCUUCGGGUUGUAAAGCUCUUUAGUCCACGAAUAUAAUGACUGUAGUGGAAGAAUAAGCCCCGGCUAACUUCGUGCCAGCAGCCGCGGUAAUACGAAGGGGGCGAGCGUUAUUCGGAAUCACUGGGCGUAAAGCGUGCGUAGGCUGUUUUGUAAGUCAGAAGUGAAAGCCCAGGGCUUACCCUGGAAUUGCUUUUGAAACUACAAGACUCGAAUUCGGGAGAGGAUAGCGGAAUUGUCAGUGUAGCAGUGAAAUGCGUAGAUAUUGACAGGAACACCAGUGGCGCAAGCGGCUAUCUGGACCGAUAUUGACGCUGAGGCACGAAAGCGUGGGGAGCAAACAGGAUUAGAAACCCCGGUAGUCC